GCCCCCUUCACACCUCCCGCCUUCGCUUUUGCGAGUCAAAACAAGUUGCUGCGCUUGCUUGUUCUAUUAUGAUUAUUAAUUAGGAUUGGUUUGGUGUGUUGUGGUUUGUUGGUUGGCGUUUGUUUUGGUUUUGUUUUUCUUUUUCUUUUCCCUCCUCGCUCCGCACCGCCUGUGCUGCUGCUCGCUGAGGGGAAACAACCGCCCGACCGGCCAAGCACCUUGGCAGCCCCCGCUUCUGGUGCGGGGUCCCGCGGUCGUUUGCGGCCGCGGCUGGAAGCGUCAGCAAACAAACAAACAAACAAAAAAUCAAAACUAAACAAACAAACUUGUUUGUGUCAGACGGAGGAGGCUGGAGGUGCGAGCGCUGCCGUCGGUGCGGGGGUGAAACGGUGGUGGCGAACGCGGUGUUUGACUCUGCCGGCCGGUCGGGAAACGGUUUACGGUCUAACCUGUUAACACCGUCGGUUUUCUACAGCAGGCUGUGGUGCAGAGGUCCUGGAAGGAGCCGCUUCUAGGCGUGUACACUUGCCACCGCAAUAAAACAAGCCGCGUAUACAAACACCCACCCUUUCUAGAAGAUGGAAAAAUGAAGGGUUCAUGCUGUUGCCCGUCACACAUCCCGUCAGCCACGGGAGGGGACUGGACCGGAACCGCCCGGUCAGACGGCGCAGGCCCGAUCCUGGCAAUGACGGCAGAUCAUCUGCCUUCACUCUCCCAUUGACACUUUUGGAGUUGAAGCAGCUGUGCUCUACUCUCCUCAUUUCUAAAUGCCUAUGCAGUGAGCUGGAUAUAUAACAGGUUAGUGUUUCAGAUCAUCCUUAAAGGAGAAAGCAGCUGGAGCUGGAAUAUAAAGUAGUCUUCUAGGAGUACUGCCAGAACCGAUCUGUUUUACGCUGCUGCUGCUGCUGCUGUUCUGCUGUGUCAUGGGAAGAGAGUUACCCAGCCACACCAACCCUUGGAAACAGCACCCUCAGGCAGAGUCGCUUGCUGCAAACCCGAGCCGUGUUUUACAGAGCUGGAGGGUAAGUUUGUCUGGUGAAGGAUUUAGGCUGGAAGGAGAAGGCGUCGCUCCCUCACUGGGCUCCGAUGGGGAGAGCGGUGCAUGAUGUUGGGAGAUUUGCAGGAGGCAGAGUGGUGGCAGCAGCAGUGACAGCGCAUCAUCACACAGCUUUAUUUCAUUUUGUCAAGCCGAGAGGCUUUAGGUUACAGCCGAGCAGAAAAGCAAAACAAGGCGUUUCUGUAAAGAAAAAAGGUGCUUUUCCCCAAAUUUGCUUCAAAUUCUUGCAAUGAGGGCUUGCACUAAGAGCGAGCAGAGAUUCUCCCUCCUCUUAAAAAUGUCGUUAGUUGUAGAAUCUUUACAAUCUUGGCUCAUUCCACCUGAACCUGUUUCCUCCAAAAACUUACUUUCAAAAAUGUAAGGUUUAAAGAUGACUCUUUCUCCCCUCUCAAGUUUACCUUCCUUGGAAAGGCCUGGGGAAGCCUAAGGCUGUGUCUCCCUGUGAAUGAAAACGGUUUGAAUAAACAACAGCAUGCACAUACAUGUGCAUGCACAGGAUUUAAAGCAUCCCAUUGAACUGUACACAUAGGAAAAUCCUUCAUCAUGUGAUUGGUUUUGAUAUCUGCCUUAAAAUUAAUCCCUAUCUGAUGGACUCUGUCUCUGAGUUGUGGCACCAGGAGACCUGUGCAGGUUUUUAAAACUGCUAAAUAAAAUCUCCCAGUUGUGGUUGGAUUAAUUUGUAUUUUCACAGCAGCUACCUGGGAAAUGCUCAUCUUGUGAAAGAAGGUAAGAAAACUUUAUACGGCUCCAGUCCUAUUUUUUGACAAUAAAAAAAGACCCUUUUUGUGGGGUCAGGACAAAAGCCAAUGCUGUUCCACAAGGAAAUGGUUAAAGGGCUCAGCAGAGUCCCUCAGUUCUUCUGUUAGAGGUCACACUCUUGGGUUUUAUUAGAGCUUGAGCUUCGGAGAUGAUCCUGCUUACUUAUCAAUGUUGUCUUUGCUUCUUUUUUGGUUCGUUUUUGUCACUGAAACCUAACCUUGUUGUUUCACUUCUCUUUCUAAUUCGUUUCACUCUAUAGUUCCAAUGUGUUAGAAAGUGCAGUUUCAUUUAGACUCUCGGCAGAAGAGAAGAAAGCCUGAUUCCAGAAAGCAAUUUGCAGUAAUAUAUUUUCGUUGCCACUCACAUGAAAACAUUCCCACUCAAACAGAUCUA
Molecule: long non-coding RNA, 2209 nt
Organism: Columba livia (rock pigeon)
Lineage: Eukaryota; Metazoa; Chordata; Aves; Columbiformes; Columbidae
Exons: 3
Source: RefSeq, a predicted model, not a curated record